UACGUAGGGUGCAAGCGUUGUCCGGAUUUAUUGGGCGUAAAGAGCUCGUAGGCGGUCUGUCGCGUCGGAUGUGAAAACCCAGGGCUCAACCCUGGGCCUGCAUUCGAUACGGGCAGACUAGAGUACGGCAGGGGAGACUGGAAUUCCUGGUGUAGCGGUGAAAUGCGCAGAUAUCAGGAGGAACACCGGUGGCGAAGGCGGGUCUCUGGGCCGAAAUUGACGCUGAGGAGCGAAAGCGUGGGGAGCGAACAGG
RNAcentral lists this ribosomal RNA (253 nucleotides) under uncultured bacterium. RNAcentral's name for it is "partial 16S ribosomal RNA". It matches the Rfam family "Bacterial small subunit ribosomal RNA", at positions 524 to 776 of the family's 1533-position model. The record is from RNAcentral.